UCACUGGUCGAGUCGGCCUGCGCGGAAGAUGUAACGGGGCUAAACCAUGCACCGAAGCUGCGGCAGCGAACGUAUCACCCAAGACAACUUUACGGAGUUGACGAUUGACGGAGCGAAGCGACGUCAAAGCGUUCAUUAAAGUCGAGUUGGCUUAGGGAUACGUUCGUUGGGUAGGGGAGCGUUCUGUAAGCCUGUGAAGGUGUGUCGUGAGGCAUGCUGGAGGUAUCAGAAGUGCGAAUGCUGACAUAAGUAACGAUAAAGCGGGUGAAAAGCCCGCUCGCCGGAAGACCAAGGGUUCCUGUCCAACGUUAAUCGGGGCAGGGUGAGUCGACCCCUAAGGCGAGGCCGAAAGGCGUAGUCGAUGGGAAACGGGUUAAUAUUCCCGUACUUGGUGUUACUGCGAAGGGGGGACGGAGAAGGCUAUGUUGGCCGGGCGACGGUUGUCCCGGUUUAAGCGUGUAGGUGUGUGUUCCAGGUAAAUCCGGUUCACUUUAACACUGAGGCGUGACGACGAGGCACUACGGUGCUGAAGCAACAAAUGCCCUGCUUCCAGGAAAAGCCUCUAAGCAUCAGGUAACACGAAAUCGUACCCCAAACCGACACAGGUGGUCAGGUAGAGAAUACCAAGGCGCUUGAGAGAACUCGGGUGAAGGAACUAGGCAAAAUGGUGCCGUAACUUCGGGAGAAGGCACGCUGACACGUAGGUGAAGUGAUUUACUCAUGGAGCUGAAGUCAGUCGAAGAUACCAGCUGGCUGCAACUGUUUAUUAAAAACACAGCACUGUGCAAACACGAAAGUGGACGUAUACGGUGUGACGCCUGCCCGGUGCCGGAAGGUUAAUUGAUGGGGUCAGCGUAAGCGAAGCUCCUGAUCGAAGCCCCGGUAAACGGCGGCCGUAACUAUAACGGUCCUAAGGUAGCGAAAUUCCUUGUCGGGUAAGUUCCGACCUGCACGAAUGGCGUAAUGAUGGCCAGGCUGUCUCCACCCGAGACUCAGUGAAAUUGAACUCGCUGUGAAGAUGCAGUGUACCCGCGGCAAGACGGAAAGACCCCGUGAACCUUUACUAUAGCUUGACACUGAACAUUGAGCCUUGAUGUGUAGGAUAGGUGGGAGGCUUUGAAGUGUGGACGCCAGUCUGCAUGGAGCCGACCUUGAAAUACCACCCUUUAAUGUUUGAUGUUCUAACGUGGACCCGUAAUCCGGGUUGCGGACAGUGUCUGGUGGGUAGUUUGACUGGGGCGGUCUCCUCCUAAAGAGUAACGGAGGAGCACGAAGGUUGGCUAAUCCUGGUCGGACAUCAGGAGGUUAGUGCAAUGGCAUAAGCCAGCUUGACUGCGAGCGUGACGGCGCGAGCAGGUGCGAAAGCAGGUCAUAGUGAUCCGGUGGUUCUGAAUGGAAGGGCCAUCGCUCAACGGAUAAAAGGUACUCCGGGGAUAACAGGCUGAUACCGCCCAAGAGUUCAUAUCGACGGCGGUGUUUGGCACCUCGAUGUCGGCUCAUCACAUCCUGGGGCUGAAGUAGGUCCCAAGGGUAUGGCUGUUCGCCAUUUAAAGUGGUACGCGAGCUGGGUUUAGAACGUCGUGAGACAGUUCGGUCCCUAUCUGCCGUGGGCGCUGGAGAACUGAGGGGGGCUGCUCCUAGUACGAGAGGACCGGAGUGGACGCAUCACUGGUGUUCGGGUUGUCAUGCCAAUGGCACUGCCCGGUAGCUAAAUGCGGAAGAGAUAAGUGCUGAAAGCAUCUAAGCACGAAACUUGCCCCGA
Molecule: ribosomal RNA, 1762 nt
Filed under: Salmonella enterica
Lineage: Bacteria; Pseudomonadati; Pseudomonadota; Gammaproteobacteria; Enterobacterales; Enterobacteriaceae
Description: partial 23S ribosomal RNA
Rfam family: Bacterial large subunit ribosomal RNA
Source: RNAcentral